RNAcentral lists this ribosomal RNA (871 nucleotides) under uncultured Janibacter sp. RNAcentral's name for it is "bacterial SSU rRNA". It matches the Rfam family "Bacterial small subunit ribosomal RNA", at positions 38 to 916 of the family's 1533-position model. Lineage: Bacteria; Bacillati; Actinomycetota; Actinomycetes; Micrococcales; Intrasporangiaceae. The record is from RNAcentral.
GGCGGCGUGCUUAACACAUGCAAGUCGAACGGUGAAGCUCCAAGCUUGCUUGGGGUGGAUCAGUGGCGAACGGGUGAGUAACACGUGAGCAACCUGCCCCGGACUCUGGAAUAAGCGCUGGAAACGGCGUCUAAUACUGGAUAUGACAUCAAGCCGCAUGGUUAUGGUGUGGAAAGUUUUUCGGUCCGGGAUGGGCUCGCGGCCUAUCAGCUUGUUGGUGAGGUAAUGGCUCACCAAGGCGACGACGGGUAGCCGGCCUGAGAGGGCGACCGGCCACACUGGGACUGAGACACGGCCCAGACUCCUACGGGAGGCAGCAGUGGGGAAUAUUGCACAAUGGGCGAAAGCCUGAUGCAGCGACGCCGCGUGAGGGAUGACGGCCUUCGGGUUGUAAACCUCUUUCAGCAGGGAAGAAGCGAAAGUGACGGUACCUGCGGAAGAAGCACCGGCUAACUACGUGCCAGCAGCCGCGGUAAUACGUAGGGUGCGAGCGUUGUCCGGAAUUAUUGGGCGUAAAGAGCUUGUAGGCGGUUUGUCGCGUCUGCUGUGAAAAUCCGGGGCUCAACCCCGGACUUGCAGUGGGUACGGGCAGACUAGAGUGUGGUAGGGGAGACUGGAAUUCCUGGUGUAGCGGUGAAAUGCGCAGAUAUCAGGAGGAACACCGAUGGCGAAGGCAGGUCUCUGGGCCACUACUGACGCUGAGAAGCGAAAGCAUGGGGAGCGAACAGGAUUAGAUACCCUGGUAGUCCAUGCCGUAAACGUUGGGCGCUAGGUGUGGGACUCAUUCCACGAGUUCCGUGCCGCAGCUAACGCAUUAAGCGCCCCGCCUGGGGAGUACGGCCGCAAGGCUAAAACUCAAAUGAAUUGACGG